GGUUAAGCGACUAAGCGUACACGGUGGAUGCCCUGGCAGUCAGAGGCGAUGAAGGACGUGCUAAUCUGCGAAAAGCGCCGGCGAGGUGAUAUGAACCUUUGACCCGGCGAUGUCCGAAUGGGGAAACCCAGUGUGUUCCGACACACUAUCGUUAACUGAAUACAUAGGUUAACGAGGCGAACCGGGGGAACUGAAACAUCUAAGUACCCCGAGGAAAAGAAAUCAACCGAGAUUCCCCCAGUAGCGGCGAGCGAACGGGGAGCAGCCCGGAGUCUGAAUCAGCUUGUGUGUUAGUGGAACGGUCUGGAAAGUCCGACGGUACAGGGUGAUAGUCCCGUACACGAAAAUGCACAUGCUGUGAACUCGAAGAGUAGGGCGGGACACGUGGUAUCCUGUCUGAAUAUGGGGGGACCAUCCUCCAAGGCUAAAUACUCCUGACUGACCGAUAGUGAACCAGUACCGUGAGGGAAAGGCGAAAAGAACCCCGGCGAGGGGAGUGAAAAAGAACCUGAAACCGUGUACGUACAAGCAGUGGGAGCACCUUCGGGUGUGACUGCGUACCUUUUGUAUAAUGGGUCAGCGACUUAUAUUCUGUAGCAAGGUUAACCGUAUAGGGGAGCCGAAGGGAAACCGAGUCUUAACUGGGCGUUAAGUUGCAGGGUAUAGACCCGAAACCCGGUGAUCUAGCCAUGGGCAGGUUGAAGGUUGGGUAACACUAACUGGAGGACCGAACCGACUAAUGUUGAAAAAUUAGCGGAUGACCUGUGGCUGGGGGUGAAAGGCCAAUCAAACCGGGAGAUAGCUGGUUCUCCCCGAAAGCUAUUUAGGUAGCGCCUCGUGAACUCAUCUUCGGGGGUAGAGCACUGUUUCGGCUAGGGGGCCAUCCCGGCUUACCAACCCGAUGCAAACUACGAAUACCGAAGAAUGUUAUCACGGGAGACACACGGCGGGUGCUAACGUCCGUCGUGAAGAGGGAAACAACCCAGACCGCCAGCUAAGGUCCCAAAGUCAUGGUUAAGUGGGAAACGAUGUGGGAAGGCACAGACAGCCAGGAUGUUGGCUUAGAAGCAGCCAUCAUUUAAAGAAAGCGUAAUAGCUCACUGGUCGAGUCGGCCUGCGCGGAAGAUGUAACGGGGCUAAACCAUGCACCGAAGCUGCGGCAGCGACACUAUGUGUUGUUGGGUAGGGGAGCGUUCUGUAAGCCGUUGAAGGUGUGCUGUGAGGCAUGCUGGAGGUAUCAGAAGUGCGAAUGCUGACAUAAGUAACGAUAAAGCGGGUGAAAAGCCCGCUCGCCGGAAGACCAAGGGUUCCUGUCCAACGUUAAUCGGGGCAGGGUGAGUCGACCCCUAAGGCGAGGCCGAAAGGCGUAGUCGAUGGGAAACAGGUUAAUAUUCCUGUACUUGGUGUUACUGCGAAGGGGGGACGGAGAAGGCUAUGUCAGCCGGGCGACGGUUGUCCCGGUUUAAGCAUGUAGGCGGAGGUUCCAGGUAAAUCCGGUACCUUGUUAACGCUGAGGUGUGAUGACGAGGCACUACGGUGCUGAAGUGAUAAAUGCCCUGCUUCCAGGAAAAGCCUCUAAGCAUCAGGUAACACGAAAUCGUACCCCAAACCGACACAGGUGGUCAGGUAGAGAAUACCAAGGCGCUUGAGAGAACUCGGGUGAAGGAACUAGGCAAAAUGGUGCCGUAACUUCGGGAGAAGGCACGCUGAUAUGUAGGUGAAGCCCCUGCGGGCGGAGCUGAAAUCAGUCGAAGAUACCAGCUGGCUGCAACUGUUUAUUAAAAACACAGCACUGUGCAAACACGAAAGUGGACGUAUACGGUGUGACGCCUGCCCGGUGCCGGAAGGUUAAUUGAUGGGGUUAGCGGCAACGCGAAGCUCUUGAUCGAAGCCCCGGUAAACGGCGGCCGUAACUAUAACGGUCCUAAGGUAGCGAAAUUCCUUGUCGGGUAAGUUCCGACCUGCACGAAUGGCGUAAUGAUGGCCAGGCUGUCUCCACCCGAGACUCAGUGAAAUUGAACUCGCUGUGAAGAUGCAGUGUACCCGCGGCAAGACGGAAAGACCCCGUGAACCUUUACUAUAGCUUGACACUGAACACUGGUCCUUGAUGUGUAGGAUAGGUGGGAGGCUUUGAAGCGUGGACGCCAGUCUGCGUGGAGCCGCCCUUGAAAUACCACCCUUUAAUGGCUGGUGUUCUAACGUAGACCCGUGAUCCGGGUUGCGGACAGUGUCUGGUGGGUAGUUUGACUGGGGCGGUCUCCUCCCAAAGAGUAACGGAGGAGCACGAAGGUUGGCUAAUCCUGGUCGGACAUCAGGAGGUUAGUGCAAUGGCAUAAGCCAGCUUGACUGCGAGCGUGACGGCGCGAGCAGGUGCGAAAGCAGGUCAUAGUGAUCCGGUGGUUCUGAAUGGAAGGGCCAUCGCUCAACGGAUAAAAGGUACUCCGGGGAUAACAGGCUGAUACCGCCCAAGAGUUCAUAUCGACGGCGGUGUUUGGCACCUCGAUGUCGGCUCAUCACAUCCUGGGGCUGAAGUAGGUCCCAAGGGUAUGGCUGUUCGCCAUUUAAAGUGGUACGCGAGCUGGGUUUAGAACGUCGUGAGACAGUUCGGUCCCUAUCUGCCGUGGGCGCUGGAGAAUUGAGGGGGGCUGCUCCUAGUACGAGAGGACCGGAGUGGACGCAUCACUGGUGUUCGGGUUGUCAUGCCAAUGGCACUGCCCGGUAGCUAAAUGCGGAAGAGAUAAGUGCUGAAAGCAUCUAAGCACGAAACUUGCCCCGAGAUGAGUUCUCCCUGAGACCUUGAGUCUCCUGAAGGAACGUUGAAGACGACGACGUUGAUAGGUCGGGUGUGUAAGCGCAGCGAUGCGUUGAGCUAACCGAUACUAAUGAACCGUGAGGCUUAACCUU
This 2904-nucleotide ribosomal RNA is filed under the name Enterobacter hormaechei. RNAcentral's name for it is "23S ribosomal RNA". It matches the Rfam family "Bacterial large subunit ribosomal RNA". The record is from RNAcentral. Lineage: Bacteria; Pseudomonadati; Pseudomonadota; Gammaproteobacteria; Enterobacterales; Enterobacteriaceae.